UCUACUUUGAACGAAGGACCAAUGAGAAAAGUUUGCUCAUGGAGAAGGUCAGAGCGAAGUGGUCAACCAAUCAACACGGCCGUGGCUAAUGACGGAUAGGAAAUGACGGGUAGAAUCGCGACUGGCAUCAGAUGAGAUGAGAGGUGGCCCACCAUGAGGUGCUGGGCGCAGCUGCUCUGUAUUCUCCUUUGCGCGCUCCCUUACUUUGCCCUGGAUGUAUUACCCAUAUGCUACCGAGACUGCGCAGCUAACGGGGUAAUUAUUGACGAUGACUUCGACGUGGUCUGUAACGAAACGUGUAAAGUUCAAAAGCAUAUCUGAAGAGAAAAAGAAAACUCAGAGGAACAAACUGAAUCAUCUAAGCUUCUUGAACGACACAGGAUGGAUGAAAAUUUCUAACUGGAUUCAUCGUUCAUUGACAUAAUAGGAUCAAACAGAUUCUUAAAAAUAAA
Long non-coding RNA from Centruroides sculpturatus (bark scorpion), 452 nucleotides. RefSeq lists it as uncharacterized. NCBI's taxonomy places the organism in Eukaryota, Metazoa, Arthropoda, Arachnida, Scorpiones, Buthidae. The transcript is spliced from 3 exons. The record is from RefSeq and is a predicted model, not a curated record.